CCCUUAGAUGUUCUGGGCCGCACGCGCGCUACACUGACGAAAGCAACGAGCUUAUAACCUUGGCCGAAAGGUCUGGGUAAUCUCCAAAUUUCGUCGUGAUGGGGAUAGAUUAUUGCAAUUAUUAAUCUUCAACGAGGAAUGCCUAGUAAGCGCAAGUCAUCAGCUUGCGUUGAUUACGUCCCUGCCCUUUGUACACACCGCCCGUCGCUCCUACCGAUUGAAUGGUCCGGUGAAGCGUUCGGACCGUGGCCUUUGGACGGUUCGCCGUCUGUUGGCUGCGGGAAGUUCGUUAAACCUUAUCAUUUAGAGGAAGGAGAAGUCGUAACA
Molecule: ribosomal RNA, 327 nt
Filed under: uncultured eukaryote
Lineage: Eukaryota
Description: partial 18S ribosomal RNA
Rfam family: Eukaryotic small subunit ribosomal RNA
Source: RNAcentral